AUGAAAACAAUGAACUCUGCUAGCUCUGAUGACAUUAUUACCAAAUCAUUAUCAAGGUGUGAAAUCAGCUUGUAUCUAGCAAGAAUGGAGAGCCCCGGAAUCGCAUUCUCCUGGCCUCUUACCUUUUCAUCCUUCUUAACAUUACUAGCUGGAGUUGUUGAGAAGUUAAAUACUUAUCUUACCAGGCUCCCUUGCAGCUUUUUCUGGCAAAUGAAAUGAGCCGCACCAUGAACCUACUGAAAGCCCGGUACAAGACCUACAAGGACGAAUGGAAGAACAGAAGGUGCCUCAGUCUAUGGUGACAUCACUGAGCCAGCAGGUCAGCCAUGGGAUGCCUACCCCAGACUUUCUACUAUGUGAGACAAAUAAAGUCCUUACUGCUUAAGCUGCUAUUAGGUUUCUGGUUAUUUAUAGUUGAACAUAUUCCAAAUUGAUCCUACACUCAAUAACCAUUUUUGUACUCAAUGACCCUCCAUGGGAGAUAAAUUUUUAAAAAGGGAAGAGUGUCUUUUCUGAAAUUUAUUAUGGAAGGUCUCUAAUGCUUUUAUUUAUACAAGAACAGCUUUGGAGAUCUCCAGUAGGCAAAUGACUCCAGUGAUCAGUUCUCAGAAAAAAAAAAAAAAAUGCUUUGUUUUGUAAACAUUUUAGUCAUGUAUUAAUUUAAUUUUAUCCCCAGGCACAAAGCUAGUCACUGAGAAUCCAACUCCAAUCUCCAAGAGGCGUAUAGUUUGGUGUGAGAAGCAAACAUACCCCUGAGAUAAAUGCUGUGACGGGAUGCUGUCAGGGUACUGGGGCAGAACAGAAAUGAGGCAGAAAAGAUUCAUAUGCUUUUCAAAGUGUCAAAGGCAGUGAAAUACAGAAAAUUUUAUUUAACAAUCUUAGCAACUUCAUUUCUCCUUUAAAGGAGGCCAAAAAAGGGGAUUAUUUUUUAAAUGGGAUAACAUGGAGAAACAUGUUCUCAUGGCUUCUAAUAAAACUCUUCUAUGAUCAUGAGAAAUGUCCC
This 1003-nucleotide long non-coding RNA is filed under the name Mustela putorius furo (domestic ferret). RNAcentral describes it as "lncRNA (ENSMPUG00000023897.1)". The record is from RNAcentral. Lineage: Eukaryota; Metazoa; Chordata; Mammalia; Carnivora; Mustelidae.